GCCCCGCCUUCACGCGAAGUGCAAAUUCGUAGGACACCCUAAAGGGUGCCGGGGCUUCUCCCGUUUGAAGCGAGACGGGAGAAGA
This 85-nucleotide transfer RNA is filed under the name Cyrtodactylus taungwineensis. Its description in RNAcentral is "Cyrtodactylus sp. PLW-2019c tRNA-Cys". Lineage: Eukaryota; Metazoa; Chordata; Lepidosauria; Squamata; Gekkonidae. The record is from RNAcentral.